UACGUAGGUGGCAAGCGUUGUCCGGAUUUACUGGGCGUAAAGAGCGCGCAGGCGGUCGUUCAAGUCGCGUGUGAAAGCCCCCCGGCUCAACUGGGGAGGGUCACGCGAUACUGAUCGACUCGAAGGCAGGAGAGGGUAGUGGAAUUCCCGGUGUAGUGGUGAAAUGCGUAGAUAUCGGGAGGAACACCAGUGGCGAAGGCGACUACCUGGCCUGUUCUUGACGCUGAGGCGCGAAAGCUAGGGGGAGCAAACGGGG
RNAcentral lists this ribosomal RNA (256 nucleotides) under uncultured bacterium. RNAcentral's name for it is "partial 16S ribosomal RNA". It matches the Rfam family "Bacterial small subunit ribosomal RNA", at positions 524 to 777 of the family's 1533-position model. The record is from RNAcentral.